AGGCAGCUGGGUGUAGCGGAUA
RNAcentral lists this microRNA (22 nucleotides) under Dasypus novemcinctus (nine-banded armadillo). Its description in RNAcentral is "dno-miR-885-3p". Its record names the gene dno-miR-885-3p. Lineage: Eukaryota; Metazoa; Chordata; Mammalia; Cingulata; Dasypodidae. The record is from miRBase by way of RNAcentral.